RNAcentral lists this long non-coding RNA (682 nucleotides) under Olea europaea subsp. europaea. The record is from RNAcentral. Lineage: Eukaryota; Viridiplantae; Streptophyta; Magnoliopsida; Lamiales; Oleaceae.
UGUUCAUCAUGAAACAUUAAUUGCAAUUUUGAAUUGUCAAUAUUUUCUUCGAGUAUUUUCUUUGCUACCAUAAUGGAUUUCGAUCUGGUUUUUUAUUAUAAUCUCCUUUUCUUCAGGAGCAUAAACUUUUGAUGAGAUAUUUGAAUCUUGCAUUGGAAGAUUUUCAGACAAAGUACUCCAAAUAGUAACAAUUUGUUUGGCUAGAAAAUAUUCUUCAGUAAAAACAGUGUUAUUGAAUUUUUUUCUUCAGCAAUCCAUUCAGGAAGAAUGGUUGAGAAUUCAAUUUUGACAGUUUUGACUUUGAAUUCAAAAAGAUGAUCAAUAACUCUUUGGAGGGAGCUAUUAAAAAGCAAGAUAUCGGUUUUUGUUUUUGAAUCAAUGUAUAUUGAGGAAAUAAAUCCACAUUCAAUCAUUUGACGAAUUUCUUCAUUACUAACAUUAAUGAUUGAAAUACAUUUGAGGGUAAAAUGAAGUUUAUGAUAGCUUUCACAAGGGUCAAAACCAUUGAAAUAGAAGUUAUCAAAUAUUUUGAUUAUAAUAUUUUUGAAUGUUUGAGUACAAGUAUGAUCUCUAUUGAUAAUAUUUUGAUAAAUGUCAUUAAAGAGUGGUAAAACUUUCUUCAUAAGACCUUUUCUAUUCUUCUUUAGGAAGAAUGAAUUUUUGAAAGAUAAUUAUUUUGAAG